RNAcentral lists this RNase P RNA (417 nucleotides) under Planctomycetaceae bacterium. Its description in RNAcentral is "RNase P RNA component class A". It matches the Rfam family "Bacterial RNase P class A". From Rfam's summary of the family: Ribonuclease P (RNase P) is a ubiquitous endoribonuclease, found in archaea, bacteria and eukarya as well as chloroplasts and mitochondria. Its best characterised activity is the generation of mature 5'-ends of tRNAs by cleaving the 5'-leader elements of precursor-tRNAs. Cellular RNase Ps are ribonucleoproteins. The record is from RNAcentral. Lineage: Bacteria; Pseudomonadati; Planctomycetota; Planctomycetia; Planctomycetales; Planctomycetaceae.
GGAGUGGGACAGAUGGCCGCUGAUUUACCAUUAGGCAAAUUGGAGGAAAGUCCGGGCUUCGCAGGGCACGAUGGUCGGUAACGCCGACCGGCCGUGAGGCUAGGGAAAGUGCAACAGAAAGUAGACCGCCACAAUCUCCACCAAGCGGUGGUCGAUUGCGGUAAGGGUGAAACGGUGAGGUAAGAGCUCACCAGCAGCCGGGGUGACCCGGCUGGCUUGGCAAACCCCAUCGGAAGCAAGGUCAAACAGGAAGCAGACGGUGUUUCGGCACCGGCGCGAAUCGGCUCCGAUCCGUUAUCGACUUCCGGGUAGACCGCUCGAGGCGCCGAGCAAUCGGCGUCCCAGACAAAUGGUCAUCCCCAGCGCGGUCGCAAGACCGCACUGGAGACAGAACCCGGCUUACGGCCCACUCCUGGU